GAUGAACGCUGGCGGCGUGCUUAACACAUGCAAGUCGAACGAAGCAUUUGCGACAGAUUUUUUCGGAAUGAAGUUGCUUAUGACUGAGUGGCGGACGGGUGAGUAACGCGUGGGUAACCUGCCUUGUACUGGGGGAUAGCAGCUGGAAACGGCUGGUAAUACCGCAUAAGCGCACAAUGUUGCAUGACAUGGUGUGAAAAACUCCGGUGGUAAAGAUGGACCCGCGUCUGAUUAGCUAGUUGGUGAGAUAACAGCCCACCAAGGCGACGAUCAGUAGCCGACCUGAGAGGGUGACCGGCCACAUUGGGACUGAGACACGGCCCAGACUCCUACGGGAGGCAGCAGUGGGGAAUAUUGCACAAUGGAGGAAACUCUGAUGCAGCGACGCCGCGUGAGUGAAGAAGUAAUUCGUUAUGUAAAGCUCUAUCAGCAGGGAAGAUAGUGACGGUACCUGACUAAGAAGCUCCGGCUAAAUACGUG
RNAcentral lists this ribosomal RNA (480 nucleotides) under uncultured bacterium. RNAcentral's name for it is "partial 16S ribosomal RNA". It matches the Rfam family "Bacterial small subunit ribosomal RNA", at positions 28 to 507 of the family's 1533-position model. The record is from RNAcentral.